This is a transfer RNA of Cavia porcellus (domestic guinea pig), 64 nucleotides long. It matches the Rfam family "tRNA". From Rfam's summary of the family: Transfer RNA (tRNA) molecules are approximately 80 nucleotides in length. Their secondary structure includes four short double-helical elements and three loops (D, anti-codon, and T loops). The record is from Rfam. NCBI's taxonomy places the organism in Eukaryota, Metazoa, Chordata, Mammalia, Rodentia, Caviidae.
GGGGAUUUAGCUCAGCGGUAUAAGCACCUGCCUUGCAAGCAGGUGGUCAUGAGAUCAAGUCCCA